GUGGUUUGUCGCGUUGUUCGUGAAAUCUCACGGCUUAACUGAGAGCGUGCGGGCGAUACGGGCAGACUAGAGUACUGCAGGGGAGACUGGAAUUCCUGGUGUAGCGGUGGAAUGCGCAGAUAUCAGGAGGAACACCGGUGGCGAAGGCGGGUCUCUGGGCAGUAACUGACGCUGAGGAGCGAGAGCGUGGGGAGCGAACAGGAUUAGAUACCCUGGUAGUCCACGCCGUAAACGGUGGGUACUAGGUGUGGGUUUCCUUCCUUGGGAUCCGUGCCGUAGCUAACGCAUUAAGUACCCCGCCUGGGGAGUACGGCCGCAAGGCUAAAACUCAAAGGAAUUGACGGGGGCCCGCACAAGCGGCGGAGCAUGUGGAUUAAUUCGAUGCAACGCGAAGAACCUUACCUGGGUUUGACAUGCACAGGACGCGUCUAGAGAUAGGCGUUCCCUUGUGGCCUGUGUGCAGGUGGUGCAUGGCUGUCGUAAGCUCGCGUCGUGAGAUGUUGGGUUAAGUCCCGCAACGAGCGCAACCCUUGUCUCAUGUUGCCAGCGGGUAAUGCCGGGGACUCGUGAGAGACUGCCGGGGUCAACUCGGAGGAAGGUGGGGAUGACGUCAAGUCAUCAUGCCCCUUAUGUCCAGGGCUUCACACAUGCUACAAUGGCCGGUACAAAGGGCUGCGAUGCCGUAAGGUUAAGCGAAUCCUUUUAAAGCCGGUCUCAGUUCGGAUUGGGGUCCGCAACUCGACCCCAUGAAGUCGGAG
RNAcentral lists this ribosomal RNA (758 nucleotides) under uncultured bacterium. RNAcentral's name for it is "bacterial SSU rRNA". It matches the Rfam family "Bacterial small subunit ribosomal RNA", at positions 575 to 1331 of the family's 1533-position model. The record is from RNAcentral.